GUCACAGAGGAUUUCCAUGCAGAGACAGUGUGCUUCUUUUUCUAGGGCUAAUCCUUCCACUGCACAGUGCUAGAGAAUUCCUACUCUAUUUCAUUAACAGCCAGGUAAGCUUCUGAGGAUUUAUCGAGAAACUGCAGUGGUCUGCUCACUUUGGACUUCAGCAUCACUUGCAUCUAAUGUCACCUGCAGAUGGACAGCCCUGGAGUGCAGAAAUCCAGAUGCUCUUCUGCCUCAGUGCUGGCAUCAUGUGUAUUCCUGAUUGAUUACCAGGACUUUUGCAAAGAGCAGGAGAGCCCCUCGUGCAGUGUCAAAACUGUGGCAAGACAAGAAAUAAAACAUUAGAGUGAUGCUCGGUGGCUUUGGAGAUUCAGGGUUAACAUUACUAAUGCUGGUCCAUGAAAAGGAUUAUUACAGAUGCUCAAAGAAAUUGUGAUUGAUUGUUCCCUCUGCUGUGGUUUGUUUUACUGUUGUUGUUGUUUAUUUUCCCUUUUAUUCUUAUAUUUUUUCUUAAUGUGAUGACUGUCAAAUUCUCCAAAGCUAGAUAAUCUGCUGUUAUUAUUAUCUAAUGUUAAUCUCCUGGGUAGACGCAUUGUGAUAUUGUCAAGUAAUCAUCUACUUUUACUUAUACAAAUAAAUGAAUAAUAUAUAUAUAUGCUUCUCUUGUU
This 665-nucleotide long non-coding RNA is filed under the name Coturnix japonica (Japanese quail). RNAcentral describes it as "lncRNA (ENSCJPG00005014803.1)". Lineage: Eukaryota; Metazoa; Chordata; Aves; Galliformes; Phasianidae. The record is from RNAcentral.